UGUGGUGUACCUGGGCUCUCUCUCUCCAGCUGGGAAAGAGAAGCGUUAGCGGAAGGGGCGAGGUUAAAGAGGUGAAGGGGCUGGGGCACAACUCCAUUUUCCCUUUCGACGAAUUUCCACAGUCUCUUCUUUCUUUCGCUUUUAUUCAACAGAGUGAGGCAGUGAAAGAGAGCAAUAGAGAGAGAGAGAGAAAGAGAGAGAGAGAGAGAGUGAAAGAGAGAAUCAAGACCAUUUUUUUAAGAGUCGAUCUUGGCUUUCUUACAAACAGAUGUUGCCUGUCAUUUGGCCGUUAAGCAGGCACCCGUGGACCUUCUGCCAAGUGCUGUAGGCGCCCUGAGUAGAGAGAGAAAACAUUUGGAAACAAUAAAAAGACAAUCGGUCUGGGUCUGUGCUGAUAUACAGUACGCCCUGCAUCAUUUCUACAUGUACCACCAGCAGACUGAAUUAGAGCACUGCAUCAUCUCCAAUCAAUCAUCAUCCUCCCAGGCAACAAGGGACAAGGGUUGCUGCCUCCUCAUUCCGAACCAGACGUGGGUGAGUUGAUUGAAGCCGUUUUCCUGCCACUCUCUUGUUUAUUUCUCAAUCUAUAUUUCCUAAUCUAUGGCUGUAGAUUGAGACUGCCUACCUCCCUGUCUCAAAAUGGUCGUGGUAGGUUCAGUGAGGAUUCAUAUUCAGCCAUCCUCAUGCACAUCCAGAUCAUUGCUCUGCCCUCCUUAUAUUGAAAUGAAAUGAGUCACGUGAAUGUUUCAAGAUAAACUGACUUUGUGUUCUUUUCCUUGGGUAUUCUGUAUAGUAGUUUUGAAUCGUUGGCUGUUGUGCGUACUGCUGGCUGCUGAACCAGGAUUUUGUCUGGCCAUCCCUUAAUAACUAGCAGCUGCAGCCUGGGAAUAGAGUGCAUGGGAGCUUAAGGAACCGAAGGCUAGCGUUGGGUUUACCUGGAGCCAGGAGCAUUUUUCAAAGUGCUGUAUUGUUUUGUCCAGGGGGUUGGGAGAGAGAGAGAGAGAGAGAGAGAGAGAGAGAGAGAGAGAGAGAGAGAGAGAGAGAGAGAGAGAGAGAGAGAGACAUAGAGAGAGAGAGAGAGAGAGAGAGACAUAGAGAGAGAGACAGAGAGAGAGAGACAGAGAGAGAGAGACAGAGAGAGAGAGACAGAGAGAGAUAGGGAGAGGGACAGAGAGAGAGAGAUAGGGAGAGAGAGUGUCGGUGGGAGGCGGGGGUCUCCAGAGAGAGGGAGGGGGAGGGGGAGAUUGGUCGAUGUUGUGUCUGGCUUACGGUUGCACUUGUUGUAUGUUACAGGCAGAGAGGCAGAGAAGGGGGGGGGAUGCGUUGCAUAAAUACCUCAUGGAAGGAAGCCUUUAUUGUCAUGAAUAUCGUGUGUUUGUUUCUAGUCUAUUUGGUACUCUCAAGCCAGCAUGAUUAAUUCAAAUCACAGUCUGUCUGGGAGUAGAAAUAGUACAACUAUAAAAUGUGCCUCUCGCAAUCCCUGAGACCCUAACUUGUGACGUUGUGCUCUCAUGUCCACGGGUUAGGCUCUCGGGAGCUGGGAGUGGUGCGCUGUCGUCCCGUCCGUGGCUCUCUCUGCAAGACAAAGGCGUUUCAGACUGUCAAACGUACAUAGACACUAUAUUGUCGGAGAAGGAAAACCGUCUGGAAAGAAAAGGGGGAAAAGGUUAGCUGGAAUCAGGCGGCAGUGUGUGUGGGGGGGGGUUGAAGGAAUGCCGGCUCGAGGGUCAUGUGACACAAUGGUGGGUUGAAAUCAGCUGAGGAAUCUUUGUGGUGGGGUGGAAGAUGGAGGGGGGAGCUUGCGUUACCAAGCUAACAUUACUAAUCCUGGACUUUAAGCUAACGUUACCAAUCCUGGACAUGUGAACGUUUAAGCUAACGUUACCAAUCCUGGACAUGUGAACGUUUAAGCUAACGUUACCAAUCCUGGACAUGUGAACGUUUAAGCUAACGUUACCAAUCCUGGACAUGUGAACGUUUAAGCUAACGUUACCAAUCCUGGACAUGUGAACGUUUAAGCUAAUGUUACCAAUCCUGGACAUGUCUCUGAGGCCCACAAAAAAAUAAAACUAGUCACUGGCCCAGUCUGUUCUGUUAUUCCUUUGUCUUUCCUCUGACAACUGGGAAAGUGGUUUCUUUCUGUUUCUGUCCAUGUCUUAUUCUGUCUUGAGAGCAGCACAAAGUACUGUGGAGAGCGUGAAGGUAUAACAGCUCGGUAUACUUGUGUUUGACCUCACUGAGCCCUCGUCUUCAUGCACACAUGCGUGCACACACACAUACACACACAAGGUAGCGUGUGCGUAGACAGUACGUUCGUAGGGGUUUGUAUAUCAGAGAGCCUGUAUGUUAGCAGUUAUUACCAUGUCACAUUGAGCCUGUAUGUUAGCAGUUAUUACCAUGUCACAUUGAGUCUGUAUGUUAGCAGUUAUUACCAUGUCACGGAUGUAGUGUAACCUUUUUUAACGGAGCAGCUAGCAAAUUCUAGUGUAUCUGCUAAACUACUUAAAAUAACUGCAAGUCUGUUGGGUUUGAACUUGCUUUAGGGACAGCAAACUGAACAGCUCACACCCAGCUUCUGAUAGCAACGGGGCUAACAUGCUUAGGGCUAACAUACAUGUUUUGUUUGCAUUCUGCUCUUGACUAUUUACAGUCCUCAUUAACAUGAUCUAUUGUCAACAAUCCUUGCUGUGAUUAGGCUAGCAUCAUGCUAAUAAAAGCACUGUGGAUUCUCCCUCCCUCUGUGAGCCAUGCUGGAAGGUAGAUAAACUGUGUUUCAGAACAGCGACUCCAUUAUAGCCUCGGCCCAUCCCCUCAUUGCUGCACUGGCCCAUCCCCUCAUUGCUGCACUGGCCCAUCCCCUCAUUGCUGCGCUGCAGGAGUACGUUCCUCCUCUCACUGCUAACCUCUUUGUGCUGGCUGUGUAAAAUGGCACCCUUUCAGGACUCCUCACCAGUGUGACAGUAUGCGUAAGGACUUAGUGCUCCAGAACAGUAACCCUCAGUCUAAUAUCCCUACACCGGCCGACGUGUUUAAACGUGUGAUUAUUUCUUCUGUACUACUAUAACUAACUAUAGCAUAGAUGCAAUAACAGCAGCUGCCCCUGUGAGAUGCGUGUGUGUGUGUGUGUGUGUGUGUGUGUGUGUGUGUGUGUGUGUGUGUGUGUGUGUGUGUGUGUGUGUGUGUGUGUGUGUGUGUGUGUGUGUGUGUGUGUGUGUUGCUCUGGUCUGGUGUGUCGUUAACUGGUAGCGCACUGCAGUGUGGGCAAUCCUGGGUAACAAGCAGCCUCAUCCAUGUACCAUGUGGCACACAUAGCUCAGCCCUGGGUCAGACAUUCUCACCACUAACUUAUUAACAGAGAAAGUCUAGCAUGUUUUAAAUCUGCAUUGUUGAUUCACACACAAUGGUUCAGUGUGGUUCGAGGGGAGAGUGAAAUGUGUGAAAUGUAGCAUUUCUUUUUGCUGCAACACUGUGUUGGGGUUAUAGUGCUAUAAGGUGUAGAUUUGCACUGUAAAGGUCUAGUUCAGGUAACUGUUUCGUCUUUGAGGGUUUUUCUGGGUCACUCGACGGACUAAACUGGGUUUCUAAUAGAAAUCUUUGCUCGUCUGUUCUUGCUAGAGCGCUCUCCUUGUAUAAAAAAGGAAACCUAUUUCGAGCCUCCACCUCAGCCCUGUGACAAACAGUUUUAUUUGUUCAGCUUGGUAAGCAAACAGCAGCGCUGAGGCGUCUCGCCCCGAUCUGAAGCGUUGCAGUGCAGAGAGACAGAGCUGUCUGGCUACAGCUCCAUUGUUGGAUUGUGUCUCGCUCAGCCUCACAGCCACAGCAUGCUCACGUUGCUUCCCUGGCCCUGCACCAGAGCAGGCGGACAUGCAUGUGCGCGCAGGCACACACACACACAGGCACGCACACACACACACACACACACACACACACACACACACACACACACACACACACACACACACACACACACACACACACACACACACACACACACACACACACACACACACACACACACACACACACACAGGCGUCUGGGGCCAGAGCCUUCUUAAAAACCGAAAGGUUGCAAGUUCGAAUCCCUGAGCUGACAAGGUACAAAUCUGUCGAUCUGCCCCUGAACAGGCAGUUAACCCACUGUUCCUAGGCCGUCAUUGAAAAUAAGAAUUUGUUCUUAACUGACUUGCCUGGUUAAAUAAAGGUAAAAAAAAAAAGAAAAAGAAGGUGGACUGGUUAGUUAGACAUGUGGUGUGAACUGUGUGUGUGUGUGUGUGUGUGUGUGUGUGUAUGUGUGUGUGUGUGUGUGUGUGUGUGUGUGUGUGUGUGUGUGUGUGUGUGUGUGUGUGUGUGUGUGUGUGUGUGUGAACAAAGGGUUCUGCACUAGGGCUGUUCAGGUUGAGCAGACAAUGUCGAUGGCUCCUUUGCACCUUGCCUGGUGACUCCCAUGAUGCCGGGCAGAGCAUACUGGUACCGAGUAGCGUGUACUGGGCCAGGAGUGUCCUUUGUGCCAGCAUCUUUGCUCCAGAACACGCGGUAGCAGGAGUUUACAGACCCCAUUCCGCAGUUUCCGCCACUCCCUGGAACACCCUUCCCUUGCUGCAGUUCUACUUGAAGGCUAUUGGUGCAGAGCAUUAUGGGUACUGUUGUGCAUCAUGCUACUCAACUCUCUGCACAGGCCAGUGUGGAAGUCAAUAAUCGGAUAGUGUGAGGAGAGUUGAUGAUCUGUGCUGUAAAGCACUUGUGGGUAGUCUGUGAGCUGAAACAACAGGUAUACGAGACAAGAUUGCGCAGGCAGCCACAAAAGGAUCCUUGCACUGCACUAGAAUAAGUGUGACCAAGUUUCAAGUUUUAUUAGUCGUAUGUACAGGAUACACAGUGAGAAUGGCAGAAUGGUGAACUUACUAAAUGAAAUGAGAGGUUGACUGUGUGAUAUUAGGUUGCUUCUUGUGUAAAUAUUUUCUGUCUGGAUUUUAACACUCCAAAAUAUACCGUAACCCUAAAGAUCUUUAUUUAGGGUCCAAUGAAAUGCUUACUUGCAGGUUCCUUCUGGACAAUGCAACAAGAAUAAGAAAUAAUACAAGAUAAGAAUACGAACAUAAAGUAAAUGGUUCAGUAGAAUAUAAUGAAAUGUUUAGCAUAAGUAUAAUAACAAAGCUAUGAACAAUAAAACCAGUUCAAUCAAAUUGUGGCAAAUGACUACUACAGUUUUGUGAUAUGAAGUGGAGUGGAUCCUGAGGAUGAACAUUUUGGACGGAGGUUUUUGUUCUUGGACUAACAAGUGGGCUUGUCUGGCAGCAGCAGCUUAGAGUAUCCUCACAGUGCUCUCUCGCUCUGCAAUCAGGACAGCUCAGACGUAGAAUCACUCUGUUGGAGCCCACACUCAAAGAAUUACAGCAGGGAACCUUUCUCAGCGUCCCAUUUAAGUGAAGGGUAAUUACAUUAAGGCCCUUUGUACACGAGAAGAAGACAUGAUGGUCUGCAAGCAGAGAGAUCAGGGCUCAGAGUCGAACACUGGGCAAUUUAUUGUCAAUUUGGACCAUUUGAAAAACCAUGGAUGGAGCUAAUGUCCAAACUCUAUCCAGGUUGUUUUUCAUUUUACCUUUCUUAAACUAGGCAAGUUAGUUAAGAACAAAUUCUUAUUUUCAAUGACAGCCUAGGAACAGUGGGUUAACUGCCUUGUUCAGGGGCAGAACGACAUUUGUACCUUGUCAGCUCAGGGAUUCAAUCUUGCAACCUUUCGGUUACUUGUCCAACGCUCUAACCACAAGGCUACCUGCCCCGCUGUGUCUCAGUAACACUGAUGUGCUGAACAUUUUACAGGGUUUGGGUUAGCUCAAUAAAUGAUCUCCCUCCAUUUACUGCAGUUGCUAUUCCAAUGAAAUAAGUGAGACUUUAUACCACACAUUAAAUAAGAGUCUUUUAUAUAUCUACACAUAGUGACACAUUAGAUCCGCCAUAUAAAACAGGUUGAACAUCCUUCUCAAGGCCCUGCCAGAGAAUAGAGCAUCAUUCAUUUAGCUAAUAACAUCACUGGUCAUGUCAUUAAGACGACACAUUAUUCUCUCGUUAGACGGAAAGCAAUCAGUCUUUGAGCUGCUUUACUUGAUCGUCUGGGUCUGAACAUUCCAGUAGGCUGGCAACAAACAGAAGCGGCAAUUGGGUCUGAAGGAUGAUUUGCUGCAGCAUGUGCAAUACUUGGCCACUUGAAGAGAUGUGUGCCUGCUGCAAAUGCUGGUGACACUUUACAUAUACCUGCUGUUAACAUAUGCACACUGUAACAUCGGGACCAGAGAAGCCAAGAGUCUGUCUAUCUUUCUCACUAUUUUUAAUGACAUGCUCUCUCUGUCUCUCUCCCUCUCUCUUUCACUGUCUCUAUCUAUCUCUCUCUCAAUGUAUGCUCACACAUACGGACACACACACACACACACACACACACACACACACACACACACACACACACACACACACGGCCCAGCUGCGUAGCUAGUUUAUUAGAUAAUGAGCAGGUAGGAGAGACAGUGCUGUCUACUUGGCCAUCUGUGAGGGCGCCUCCCUGUCCAGGUUAAAGGAGCUUUAGGAUUAAACACUCCCACCACGCUAUGUGGAUUAAUCACUACUCAGGACUAACCUAAUUAAUCCAAGAGGGAUAUGUCACUAGUGUAUGCCAACAGUCGCCACAGUCGCUUACAGUCUCCUCUAACCUCAUAGCACCCCAUUCCUUUGGUAGUGCACUACUUUUAGCCAGAGCGCACCCUAUUCACUUCAUAGUGCACUACUUUUACCUAGAGCGCUCCCUAUUCCCCAUGCAGUCCCCUACUUCUGGCCAGAGUCCAGCCUGUUUCCUAUGUAGUGCACUCUAAAGGCUCUGGCCAAAAGUGGUGCACUGUAUAGGGACUAAGGUGCCAUUUCAGAUAUGGCCUGUUUCCUAUGUGAUGUGGAGGAAGAGGGAAGGCUUUCCAUCCUCUUACUGCGUCUGAAGUCACACAGUGUCUCCUUAGACAUAUUCUGGUCAAGCCAGGUUCAUCAACACCGAGAGGAGCCAUGGAAAUCCCCCUGCUUAGAGUCAAGAGAAAGAUGGAGAACGAUUCUCUUUGUUCUCUUUUUUUAUUUCUCUCUCUCUCUCUCUUUGUCUUUCUCUCCUACUCUCUUUCUCUCUCUCUCUCUCUCUAGUUCUCUCCCUUUCUUUCUCCUAUUUCUCACAGGCACACAUACAGACACAAACACACAGACAGAAAAAUUAACACAGGCACACAUACAGACACAAACACACAGACAGAAAAAUGAACACAGGCACACAUACAGACACAAACACACAGACAGAAAAAUGAACACAGGCACACAUACAGACACAAACACACAGACAGAAAAAUGAACACAGGCACACCAACCAACUCUCUCCAGUCUCUCAGGUUUAACCCUGAGAGGGGAAUGUGUAAUUAUUGUGAUUAAUAGAUAAUCUAUGAUAGGCUUUAUCUUUGGAUUCAUCUACACAGGCGCAUUCUCCUAUGGCUAUCCCAAAGAAUAACCCUUCUGUACAAUAUAGCCACUAUCUUGCACAGUAUAAGCACUCCUUCUAUUCGUGAUCUGAACCACUGUUAUAUCUGUUGCAAGUUGAUCUCAAACCACAUCCUUUAUCAUAGAAACAAGUCUGGUUUAGAUUAUCAACCAGUCUGAAUUGCCCUUAUUCAAAUCUUUCUGAUAACAUUUUUUGGUCAUUCCCAACAUUUCUUCAAUUGAUCUGAUAAACUAUUCAUGUGAAGGUCUGUUUAUACACGCUAAUAAACCAUUAUCAGGUACUUUGUUAACCAACAUAUCAUGUGUGUGUAAACCAUGAACGGUAACACUGCUUACAGCCAGUGGGUAUAAUGCUUCAUUACUUGUUAUAAGAAUAAUGAGCCCUAGGGCGCUGUUUUGCGUAGUCAUGUGACAUGCCUGGAUUUUAAACUUUAUUUAAAGCUUUUUCAUCAAACUGUCCCAUUUUCUUUUUAUGUCAGAUGAUCUGGAUAAUAUCUUAUUAUAAUACUUACAAUAUGUUAUGUGUUUAUAUGCUGUAAAAAAAAGGGUCCGACUAAAAAUAGCUGUUAUUUAGUUGGAAUCAUUAUGAUAUUAUAAUAACACAAAGGAGUUAUAGUCUUAACCAUUUACAAAUAGCUGCUAUUUAGUUGGAAUCAUUAUGAUAUUAUAAUAACACAAAGGAGUUAUAGUCUUAACCAUUUACAAAUAGCUGUUAUUUAUUUGGAAUCAUUAUGAUAUUAUAAUAACACAAAGGAGUUAUAGUCUUAACCAUUUAAAAAUAGCUGUUAUUUAGUUGGAAUCAUUAUGAUAUUAUAAUAACACAAAGGCGUUAUAGUCUUAACCAUUUACAAAUAGCUGCUAUUUAGUUGGAAUCAUUAUGAUAUUAUAAUAACACAAAGGAGUUAUAGUCUUAACCAUUUACAAAUAGCUGUUAUUUAGUCAGAAUCAUUAUGAUAUUAUAAUAACACAAAGGAGUUAUAGUCUUAACCAUUUACAAAUAGCUGCUAUUUAGUUGGAAUCAUUAUGAUAUUAUAAUAACACAAAGGAGUUAUAGUCUUAACCAUUUAAAAAUAGCUGUUAUUUAGUUGGAAUCAUUAUGAUAUUAUAAUAACACAAAGGAGUUAUAGUCUUAACCAUUUAAAAAUAGCUGUUAUUUAGUUGGAAUCAUUAUGAUAUUAUAAUAACACAAAGGAGUUAUAGUCUUAACCAUUUAAAAAUAGCUGUUAUUUAGUUGGAAUCAUUAUGAUAUUAUAAUAACACAAAGGCGUUAUAGUCUUAACCAUUUACAAAUAGCUGCUAUUUAGUUGGAAUCAUUAUGAUAUUAUAAUAACACAAAGGAGUUAUAGUCUUAACCAUUUAAAAAUAGCUUACUAAUGUUUAAUAAACAAUGACCUACAAAAAUGUUCAGCAAAUCAUUAACUGGUGAUUUAUAAAUGAUCUAUAAAUGGCUUAUAAAUUAACACUAUUAUAAAGCGUUACCAUCAUUUGCCCAGCAAAGAAUAACCAAAUUCCCCUUUUUUGAUGAAAAAGAAAGCAAGCUGUUUAUUAAUUACAAUGUGUAAUGAGCGUCUCCUGUGUUACUGUGGGUCUUCUGUCAGUCAGAUAGUGAACAUACAGAAUGUGUAAUGAACGUCUCCUGUGUUACUGUGGGUCUUCUGUCAGUCAGAUAGUGAACAUACAGAAUGUGUAAUGAACGUCUCCUGUGUUACUGUGGGUCUUCUGUCAGUCAGAUAGUGAACAUACAGAAUGUGUAAUGAACGUCUCCUGUGUUACUGUGGGUCUUCUGUCAGUCAGAUAGUGAACAGGCAGAAUGUGUAAUGAGCGUCUCCUGUGUUACUGUGGGUCUUCUGUCAGUCAGAUAGUGAACAUACAGAAAAAAAGACAUUUAAAAAAUUCAUGUUAAAUAAUCUAUUAUAACUAGCUUUUAGAUCAAAUCAAAUGUAUUUAUUUACUACUAUGAGUGGUUAAAUAUGGAGGCGUAAGCUACAAAAUGUACCUUAUGAUACUGUUUAGUUGGUACGGCUGUUUUUUAAUCUGCUGCUGUGCUUUUGUUACAUAGUUUUUCCAUGUAGAAUUAAUAAGAGUUGGCAAGUGGCCCUUUUUCUCAGUCCUUUAAAAAUAAAUCCCACAUGCCACGCCAAUGGUGAGAACAAGGUUUUGACAUCUCUGUCUCACACAUAUUAUGUGUGAGUGGGCGCUUUUACAAGAACUGUCAAAGUUAACAUUUACGUUGUUUUGCAGACGCUCUUAUCAAGAGCAACUAGGGUUAAGUGCCUUGCUCAAGGGCGCACAUCAACAGACUUUUCACUUAGUCAGCUUGGGGAUUCAAACCAGCAACCUUUUAGUUACUGGCCCAAUGCGCUUAACCGUUAGGCUACCUGCUGCUCUAACGCGUUAAUAACGGCUGAUAUCUUUAAUGCCAUUCAAUUCUUUGACGUCGUUAAUCACAUCUCCAUUUCUUCACCGCACAGACCAUUUUAAGCACACGCGUUUCUGCAUGGACCCCUUUAAGUGCAACACACAACACGCUCUGUGCUGUGUGCAGUGUGCACACGGUCUCGGUAGAGCUGUCUGUCUCUAUUGUGUUGCUCAAACAUCCACUAGCUUCUUGAUUCAACUAACUUCACACAAUUGAUUUAAUCAGAACAAGACAUCCAUUCCAUGCAUUAACUGUUUUUGUUGUUAUCUCAGGUUAAAAAGAUUUAAACAAAUUAUCCCAAUUCUAAUAGCAGCUUGUGACUAGUUCAUGUUGAAGAACAUGGAUCAGUAGCCUAGGAAAGAUCUAAUAGCUGUAUUAUAUUUGACAUGAACUAAGACCUGGCUGAUCUGUUGUUAUUGUCUUCUGGGUUUAAAUGCUCUUUGUUCUUUGUAUCCAUAGACCCAGUCGGUACUAGAUGUGGUGACCCCAUCUGGUGAAAAAAACCUGUGGUUACCCCAUUGGCUAACUGCAAAAACUGUGCUCACAGCAAAACAGAAAUGUGCUCAUUCCUAGUCAGUAAAAGAUAGAAAGUCGCCUGUGGGGAAUACAACCUGUAGUUACCUAGGUUACCCCAUUGGCUCACAGAAAAACUUGACCUUUUUCAAACGCAAUUUUCUUGUUGUCUGCUUGUUUUAGUCAAUUACAUAACUACAUUUAAGAAAAGUACAACAUGUCUAAAGAUGACUUUUCAACAUUACCUGCUCCUGAGCGUUCUCACUACUUAGAAAAACAUAAUAUUGUAGGCCUUCCCUCAUGCCUCUUUUCAUAACGAUGCUAACAGACACUUGAGUGAGUGAGUGCUAGCUAUCUACUGACCGGAACAUUAAGCUAGCUAAGACCAACAACACAAACAAACAGACUAUACAGCUACAAGUAGUGAGUGGAGUUACAAACAGACAGUACUAAACAAGUUAAAUGUCUUACCUGUGAUGACAUUUUUUCCACACACAAAGCUACGUGUAGCCUGAAGUGUGUGUGUGUGCACGCAAGUGUUAAACUUCAAGAACAUUGAUAAGAGGGAGUAGGCCUACUUAAACAUUGGGAGCAUUAAUAGCUGUAUGUUACAGUGACUUUUGUGUUGUUUAUGGUGAAAAUGCUAUUUAAACAUUCUGAUGAAGAUCAUUUUGUGUUGUUUAUGGUGAAAAUGCUAUUUAAACAUUCUGAUGAAGAUCAUUUUGUGUUGUUUAUGGUGAAAAUGCUAUUUAAACAUUCUGAUGUGGAUCCCUUUGUGUUGUUUAUGGUGAAAAUGCUAUUUAAACAUUCUGAUGAAGAUCAUUUUGUGUUGUUUAUGGUGAAAAUGCUAUUUAAACAUUCUGAUGUGGAUCCUUUUGUGUUGUUUAUGGUGAAAAUGCUAUUUAAACAUUCUGAUGUGGAUCCUUUUGUGUUGUUUAUGGUGAAAAUGCUAUUUAAACAUUCUGAUGUGGAUCCUUUUGUGUUGUUUAUGGUGAAAAUGCUAUUUAAACAUUCUGAUGUGGAUCCCUUUGUGUUGUUUAUGGUGAAAAUGCUAUUUAAACAUUCUGAUGAAGAUCAUUUUGUGUUGUUUAUGGUGAAAAUGCUAUUUAAACAUUCUGAUGUGGAUCCCUUUGUGUUGUUUAUGGUGAAAAUGCUAUUUAAACAUUCUGAUGAAGAUCAUUUUGUGUUGUUUAUGGUGAAAAUGCUAUUUAAACAUUCUGAUGUGGAUCCCUUUGUGUUGUUUAUGGUGAAAAUGCUAUUUAAACAUUCUGAUGUGGAUCCCUUUGUGUUGUUUAUGGUGAAAAUGCUAUUUAAACAUUCUGAUGUGGAUCCUUUUGUGUUGUUUAUGGUGCCAUUAAAAUCCUCUGAUGCAGAUUAUUUUAUGUUUCUUUCCCUUACAAUCAAAACAUAGCAUGCCUAUAACUCAAUGCACUGCUUUUUAAAUGGAAAAUUGUUUAUUUAGGGACAAAUUUGGGCAAAUUCUAAAUUGCAAUUAAGGGAUGCCAUUAAGUUAAUUCAUUAUUUUAAUCGUUUGACAGCACUAGUUUAUACUGUACCCUAGUGAGUUAGGAGAGGGGUUGACUAAUUUAAAAAAAUGACCAGUGAUUGUCGCUUUGACAGUGCAUUAUAAAACCUUUCAUUUAAACUUUUAGAUAUAAAGAUUUAUAGGCUGGAAAAAAACAAUGCCAAAAUAUCAAGUCAACCUUGAUAUUUUUGAAAAUGAUGUUUUAGUAUAAUUCUCAGAAAGGAUAAGCCUACCGAUUUAGAUGAGAUGUUGCUAUAUUGUACACUAAGUGUUCAAAACAUUAGGAACACCUGCUCUUUCCAUGACAUAGACUGACCAGGUGAAUCCAGGUGAAAUCUGUGAUCCCUUAUUGAUGUCACAUGUUAAAUCCACUUCAAUCAGUGUAGAUGAAGGGGAGAAGACAGGUUUAAGAAGGAUUAUUAAGCCUUGAGACAAUUGAGACAUGGAUUGUGUAUGUGUGCCAUCCAGAGGGUGAAUGGGCAAGACAAAAUAUUUAAGUGCCCUUGAACGGGGUAUGGUAGUAGCUGCUAGGCACACUGGUUUGAGUCAAGAACUGCAACGCUGCUGGGGAUUUCACACUCAACAGUUUCCCGUGUGUAUCAAGACGGUCCACCAUCCAAAGGACAUCCAGCCAACCAAUGAAUUGAGGCUGUUCUGCGGGUGCAACUCAAUAUUAGGAAGGUGUUCCUAAUGUUUUGUACACUCAUUGUAUACCAAACCUAGCUUGGUUUCUCAGGUUCUAUGUGGGGGAGUUUUUUAAUACAUAUCUUACAGGAAACCACCUAUUUAUAAUGAUAGAAUUGUAUGUCUUUCUCUUUUAAGUGUAUACUUGUUCAGAAUAUCUCAGAUUGAUGAUGUACUGCAUGUAAACAAAAACAUUUACAAUUGCAUUUGCAACAUUGCUGUUUUCCAACAAUAAAGAUUCCGAAACCUGUCUUUCUGUUGUUGUUGUUUAAAGUUAUUCUGACAUUUUCUGACUUGAAAAUGGAAACGCUUAGGAAUGGGAAUGGAAAUCAUACUUAUUGUUUUAAUCUAUGAGACUAUGACAAUUAUUUCACAAUAAAUACAGUAGAACACCAGUGGUAAUAGGGUUGGAAAAUAAAAUGUGAACUAUCCCUUUAAGUUAACACACAUAAUAUCAGCAAAACCUCCAAAAGGAUCCUGUUCACACACAUCGCAA
RNAcentral lists this long non-coding RNA (13152 nucleotides) under Salmo salar (Atlantic salmon). RNAcentral describes it as "lncRNA (ENSSSAG00000086319.1, ENSSSAG00000101900.1)". The stretch from base 1472 to 1542 matches the Rfam family "lin-4 microRNA precursor family", at positions 1 to 71 of the family's 80-position model. The record is from RNAcentral. Lineage: Eukaryota; Metazoa; Chordata; Actinopteri; Salmoniformes; Salmonidae.